Molecule: long non-coding RNA, 6458 nt
Organism: Numida meleagris (helmeted guineafowl)
Lineage: Eukaryota; Metazoa; Chordata; Aves; Galliformes; Numididae
Exons: 4
Source: RefSeq, a predicted model, not a curated record
ACACGGGGAUCCAGCCCCGCUCCCAGAAAACAAGGCGCCAGCAAAAAGCUUUUUUCACCCGUUUCUCGAGAAAUGUUCACUUUCGCCCUCCAGACGUGGGUGGGAUGAAGGCAGGGUGUAUUUUCCAGCGCAACGUUUGGAUUGCCCCCUCGGUUUUUACUUCGACGGGAGCAAAACGCCAAUAAUAAUAUUUGUGAGGAAUAACUAAAAUUCUGCGGCUUUCUCCCCCGCUCUCCUUUAUAUAAAUAAAAUGCCCCAAACACGAGGAGCACAGAUGCUCUCUCCAACACAGCAGGGCAGCGCAGAGUAAAUUCAGGGACCCUCUGAGGAUUUAUUUCACCGUCGCAGCCGAGAUUCUGAUAAAGACAAAAAUUCCUUCCCGGAUUCUUUUGCAUAUGUCAGUCAGGAGAGGUCGAGCCCCGUGCUCGGACAGCUCAGAGCGCGUCUGUUCUUCAUCUCCUGAUCCCAUAGGGACCUCAGCACGGGUCGGCAUCCCCCAGGCAUGGGCACGGGGAUGCUCACGCGGGAGGUGACACUUUCUGCAUCCUUCCUAUUCUUCAUUUCCCUCCCUAUGGGUCUUCCCAGUGGCUAAAAGGAGCAGAAUCGGGGAUUGCGCACAGGUGUGGGUUCCCACCGACCCAGCCCAGGUUUGCACAGCAUCCUCAUCCCCGCAUCAAGGGGUACUCAAGACCUUCCACCACCCCCGUGGGCAAAGAGAAGGAAGCAAUGAAGGGACUGCAACAGCCACAACGAGCCACGCUUUUACUCGGAGAUUUGGGAAAAGGCGGCUGCCCAAAGAACCAAGCUCUGUGACUUUCACACCCAUCACCGACCCAACCUGGCCGCUGCCACAGAGCAGUGGGCACCGGGGGCUGCGGGAGAUGCCCGGGGAUGCAGCAUCCUGGCAGGAACCGCUGCCCGGCGUCUGCCACCCGCUGCUGAGGUGAGCAGCAAAACGAGAUCCUACUAUUAAAAGUGCCCGGCGCUGGCCACGUUUCCACCCAUGACAUCAGCGGGGUUAUCUGAGUCUAACCAUGGGCAGGGCUUGGCCACGAGCCCCCAUGCCGUUAUCCUUUUUAGGCCAAACUGAGCUGAGAUUUUGAUGGGGCCACGCAGUACCAGAGCCCGCUUUUGGCUCCCGGCUGCUCCAGGAAAGCACCAACCAUCCGAGCUCAGCUAUUUUUUGCCCAGCUCACAGCCAUGGCCCUGGCAGAGCACCCCAGUGCCGUGCAAACAGGAGCAGGCCCCGCUCCAUCCCCUGCUCACGGCUCAGCAAGGGCUCCACGUGCUCCUUGCCCUCUCGAGCUGCCCGCAGGCUCUGGGGCUCUGCCCAUCCCCAAGCUCAGAGUGAGACCCAACUCUUCCUUCCCCUUCGAAUCUCAGCCCUUAGAGCCAAAGCUGAGGUUUUCAGCAACGCGUGACCAAAGGCCGAUGGAUAAAGUUGGAGAGCCCUUCCUGCAGCGAACCCUGGCCGCGCACUUCCACCAACUGCAAGCUGCAUGUUCCCAUAACCAAGAAAUGCAAAGUUACGGUGCGUCCCCCCAUGCUCCCCCUGAUGCCCCCCACUGCGUCCCCCCCCGCCACAUUCACGCUGCGUUUAGACCUGAGCAGCCCAACCCGUUGUUUUUCACUCGCACCAGCGUGCAAACCCUCCGCCAGACAGCAGCAAGGUGACACACGCUGCUCCCCCCCUCCCUCCUCCCCCGUCCGAGCCAACAUGACUAACACCACAGCAUGCUACCAGCAUCCACAGCGAGCUGGGCUCCCCAGGAAAACGCAGGCACAUCACCAGGGCCUGAUCCUGCCCGCCCCGCUCGGGGUCCCCCUCCCACAGCAGCAUCAAAGGAAAUGUCAGAACUUUGGGCAGCCAGCCCCACUAUUAAACCAACAGCGCUGGCAGAUGGGCGCUGGCUGGGGGUGCGUGACCCUGCAUCCAUCCGCUGACCCUAUAGCAGGACUACGUGGGUUUUUUUUUGGGGGGGGGACGCUGCAGGGAGAUGCUUUCAGCCCCAGCACCAACUGCAGCACUCCGCUAUCAGCACCGGGCACUGCACAGCCGUGAUUCCGGGGGUUCUGCAAUUCGGCAAAAACAAAACCCAAACAACCCCCCCCCUCCGCCUUCCUCCUCCCCCAGUUCCCAGAGCCCCAGCACUGAUUUAAAGCCCCGGCGGCCGCGCUGCGCGGUGGCAGCGCUGCGGGCUCGGCCCCAAUUCCUCCUCCCAGGGCUCGGCGCCAGGCGACUUCGCUAAAAGUUUGUUCUUCCCCCUCCCCGAGCCCUGAGCUCUGCAAUAUCGCUUCUGCUGAACGCCAGACGCAGGGAGGCAUUCGCCCUUACAAGCCAAGACUUGACUCCGGCACCGAAACGAUGGCAAACUCCCGCUGGAAAGAGCAAGAGGAACACCGAGAGAGGAUCCAUCUUGCCUCGCCGUCACGCGGAGCUGCAGAAGUUAAAGCCAAAGGAAGCGCCUUGGAUCCUCCUUAUCCUCUGCUCCUGUAAUUUCUGCAUGUCCAAACAGAUUUUGGAGCCUGUUUAUAACUGGUAACUUCGUUUGCUCCCGGGCUGGGACCUGAAAUGCCAAGUUUCAUCUCCAAGUCAGUUUUUAAGGCCGCGUUGCAUUAACUCCUGGGAGCAAAGGAGAAUAAAAAAAAAAAAAAAGGAAAGGAAAUACUACGUAAGGAUAUAAGAGAAAAUUGGGGGUGUUAGAAAGGGCCAAAAUAUGGGUGGGUUGGCAUGGCAAAAGUCGCAGGUCUUGGGGACACCUGCCUGCUGGCACUGAUGGCUGCAGAGCUCUCGGCAGCGUUUGAUCCGGGGCCAAAAAUCCACUUCUGUCAAUUCGAACCCAAGGAAUUACCGUAACUGGGACAUUUCAUGCUCCUCUCUCAUCAAGCUCUUUAGAGCAAAUUAAAUUUCUCCCUAACCAGCCUGUAACAGUUUGUGUUAGAUGUGGAUCUAAAUGUUAAUUGCAGUGACAAUAACAGGUCUGAUCCUGCAGUCCUUAUUUGGGUAAAACCUCCCACAGAAGCCAAAGGAAUUUUGCCCCAGAGAAGACAGCUGGAUGCAGUCCCACAUUUCCCGUCUCCUGAAGAUGCCAGAAGCUGUGCACUUGCUCGCAAAGAGCCGAAGCCACGGAGGGGAGAGGUGGACGCUGCAGGUCGUUGGCUUGUCCCUCUGCUGGAUGCAAGGACCUGGAGGUCCUCCCCCAUCCUGGAGAGCUGUAUGGGAAGCCUCGUGCGCUUCUCGUUCCCUCUGCUCUUGGGCAACGCGAAUUCCUUCAAAUGUGAGGCCCGAAGGAAGGCGGUUCUACGUGAUGGGAUGAUGCGGGGCCUCCCUGUCCUCAUCGGUGACUCCAUCACUCAGUCCCAGCUGGGUUUGGCGAAGGGAUGCCCCAUAUUCAGUCGGUGUCAUCCAGACACUCUUACAGCUCCCAGAGAUGAGGCAGAAGCAGCAGCACCGUGCAAGAACCCCAGAGCCUGGAGAGGGUGCAGUCCAUCCCCAUCCAGGCCCAUCCUCACAAACCCAAAGAGCUGCAGAAGGUGGAACCCCCUCCGAGCACACGCAGACCAACAAAAACUCAAAGGCACAAAGCAUUUCUUCAGCGCUGGAGAUUCAAAUCCCCUGCUUUGUUUGGUGCUUUUUCCCCAGCAGCAUUUAACAAGCUGAUGAUGUUUGUUUAUGAAGUGAAAUGCACAUGAUUUAUUUGAUCUGCUGGAGCUGGAGAGCUGCAUUCCCACGCCAGGGACAGGCAGAGACGCUGCUGCCUCCAUCCCCUCAUUGGAAACUGCUCGGAUAAAGCACUGUGCAGUCAGAGGCACUGCGCUGCACUUUCAGCUCCUUCAGAGCAGGACAUUAAAUGCUUAUUAGAGACCUCCCCACUUCCCAGCCAUAAAGCUGCACUUGUUCUUGUCUGUCUCUGCACGUGGAGACGGCCUUAAUGAAGCGUUCCUGCAGCUGACACAGGUUUGGGGAGGAGGUCUUGGGGCACCUGGGCUGUAGUCUGGGUCUGGUUUGAGUGAUGGUGGGGAGGUUCUUCCUCUUGUGCUUUGCUGGUGGAUUGGGUUGAACAUGUCUCACCCGAUUUGCAGGGACGGUGGUUUAAUUAAUUGCUUUGCAAGAAGAUUCUGUAGAGGGGAAGUCUAGUUCUGCCUUUUACAACACCUGGAGAUGUACUUCAUCUCAUCACCCAGACCAGAGCCUGACUGCCAAGGAAGCCACAGAAACCGAUCCAUUAACUGAUGGAAGAAAAAGUGCAGGACGUGAACUAUGAGACUUACAGCUCCCUGGGGAGCACACAUCGAGCAUCACCCAUCCUGCAGGUGGGACACGAGCCAGAUCCUCACCUGGUGUAAGCCAGCAGCACAUGGCCCAGGGCUGGCCACCAGCUGAGGUCCCCUUCCCCCAACUGGGGCUGCAAUUGGGCUGUGCCAGCUGUGAGCAACCUCACCACAAAGCCUUGCCCCAGAGCUUGAGGAUGUGACCCAGCCACUACCAGGGCCUUCCCCCCGUCCCUGCAUACAAAACACUUUGCAAAUGAAGGGUGAAGAUAAUAUGCUUUAUCACAGGCAUUUAUUACUGGUGAUUGUUGAAUAAAUCUCCCUCCAUUCACAUACAUAUACAUAAGGUGUAUAUAAAUAUGCAGCUAGUAUCCGGCCCAGAGCCUUUUUGACGAUGUCAGUGUAGCCCCCAUAAAGAUAGUGGGAAAUGAUUCAUAAUAUUUAUAUGACAGACACGAUAUGAACUGUAAUAGCCUGUUGGGAUCGAGAAUAUCCAUAGGUCUCUGUCAGCCACAAAUGUGAUUUAAAUAUUAUAUAUGUGGCAACUGUAGCAUUAGUAAUAUGAUAGCUGUUAUUGAUAGUGGUCAUAAAACGCAGUAGUUUUGCGCUGAAGAAUGUGAAAAAUAAUCUAGUGGUUUUCCUAAUGGUCUCCCCAGCAAUGUGCUGAAGGAAGUGUACUUUCAGUGCCUCUUCUUUCAAUGCCUCCCCUCCCCCCCCCCACCCCAAACUGCCCUCGGGUUCUAUCAGAUUACUGCUGGGGCCUGGGGCUGGGGGUGUUCUGCUGGGGGGCGUGGGGCCAGGGUUUCCUCCUCUGCAUGGAAUAGGGCUCAGUGCUGCCAUGCUGGGUGCAAAGGGGAGGUUUCGUCCAGUGCCUGCUCAAGGUUAUUCCCUCCUUUGCAACAGCAAAGAGUCAUCAGCGAGCAUGGCUUUGCCCAGCCCCACAGGAGAGCUGAUACCAGCGAGCCUCACCUUCUUGCUGUCUGAGCAUCACACAGACACACAACGGCUGGGUAUUGCACCAUGGGUGGGAGCUCAGGGACCCCCAUUGUGAGGGACCAGCACCCAAGCAGUGACACGCAGCAAAGGUCCUCAUCCCUCCUCACUAUCAGCAUGCCUUCCUCUCCCAUCUUGGUCCUGUUCUUUCCUGAGAGCAAACGAAUGUGGAAAAUCACUCCACCCACAGCCGUUGGUUACAACAGCUCCUAUUUUUCCUCCCUUAGCAUAAGCAAGAGAGGACGUAGCUUGCUCAGGUGGAUGCAGCAAUCACGGUCUUGCUUUGGUGGGGUCUGCAGGGGGCUUGUGGAACCAUCCCCAACACCAGCACUGCGCUGGUCAGGCGCAGCCUCCAGGGCAGGUAUCAGGAUGCCCGCUGCAUCCCUUCACAUCACAGAGAAUAAAUCAAGGCAACGAAACAUCCUCCAAGCAGCAACGGAAUGGAGGUGGGGCUGAGGAAGAGAGAAGGGUGAGGGCAGCAAGCGGCUCGGUCCCCGCUGACACCCAGCAGAGCCACGCGUCGCUUCUCAGUGACCUGCUGCGGGUUUCCAACUUUGACAACAAAGUGCAUUUUAUAGAAGAAAGCAAAAGCGCGUUGCAACGUGAGGGUCCGGGUGUAAUGCGACAGCAGUUUUCUGCACCAUUUGCACUGCAAACGGGCUGAUCUUCCUCUUCCUCACCCUGGUGGGAGGCAGGCUUUGCUCCAGGGAGAGCUGUGGGCCCAUUUCUGCCGUCGUUUGCACCGACAUAAAUCAGGAAUUUACUCAGUUGAAAUAAGUGGGGCUGCACCAGUAUAAAACCAGUGUGAGAUCGGAAUUACAGUGCCAUAAAAGCAGCGUGAGAUUAGAAUCAGCCUCAGUAUAUUACAGCGAUGGUUUGAGGAAAGCCUAGGGAAAUUACUAAUAUUGGAAUCGGAAAAAGAAGAGAAAAAAAUGGCAUAUGAUUUCCUGAUGAUUUGGGAAAUCAAAUCCUCAAGGCCAGCACUUGUGUUCCUCCCUCCCGCCGCGAUGCCAGCACUGGUGAGAGCCGUGCCAGAGCGGUGAUUCUGUAUUAUUCCUCUUCUGGAUGAAGCAGCUGGGAGAUGCUUUGCGUGAAGACGCCGUAUAAAAAUAAAUGGAAUUGAAUUAGGGAAACAACUGAAGUCGUUUCUUCUCCAUCCUCACGUUAAUCCAUUUAGGCCGAUUCUUUGGAUG